This 512-nucleotide ribosomal RNA is filed under the name uncultured Glomeromycotina. RNAcentral describes it as "SSU rRNA". It matches the Rfam family "Eukaryotic small subunit ribosomal RNA", at positions 569 to 1085 of the family's 1831-position model. The record is from RNAcentral. Lineage: Eukaryota; Fungi; Glomeromycota.
AGCAGCCGCGGUAAUUCCAGCUCCAAUAGCGUAUAUUAAAGUUGUUGCAGUUAAAAAGCUCGUAGUUGAAUUUCGGGAUCAAUAUAUUGGUCGUGCCUUCGGUAUGCACUGGUAUUAUUGAUUUCUACCUUCUGACGAACUAUGAUGUCAUUAAUUUGGUGUCAUGGGGAAUCAGGACUGUUACUUUGAAAAAUUAGAGUGUUUAAAGCAGGCACACGCUUGAAUACAUUAGCAUGGAAUAAUGAAAUAGGACGUUUGACCCUAUUUUGUUGGUUUCUAGGAUCGACGUAAUGAUUAAUAGGGAUAGUUGGGGGCAUUAGUAUUCAAUUGUCAGAGGUGAAAUUCUUGGAUUUAUUGAAGACUAACUACUGCGAAAGCAUUUGCCAAGGAUGUUUUCAUUAAUCAAGAACGAAAGUUAGGGGAUCGAAGACGAUCAGAUACCGUCGUAGUCUUAACCAUAAACUAUGCCGACUAGGGAUCGGAUGAUGUUAAUUUUAAUGACUCAUUCGGCG